Molecule: ribosomal RNA, 1443 nt
Filed under: Triticum aestivum (bread wheat)
Lineage: Eukaryota; Viridiplantae; Streptophyta; Magnoliopsida; Poales; Poaceae
Description: partial small subunit ribosomal RNA
Source: RNAcentral
AUGGACCUGCCAUGGCUGCUACCUCAAGACGUGCUCGCCGAUGUCCUCCGGUUUGUUCCGCCGCGCAGCCUCGCCGCAUGCCGCUGCGUUUGCAAGGCCCUGCGGAGCACCAUUGACGACCACUGCCUACUACGUGCGGAUCUCCUCCCGCUGUCGGUCGCCGGCAUCUUCAUCAAUUUUAACGACCUCCCUUUGCCGGAAUUUUUCUCCCGUCCCUCGGCGCCGGCGGGGCCCUCAAUCUCCGGUAGAUUCGACUACUUGCCAUCCUCCGGUCUCCGUUUGAUCCGAGAUCACUGCAAUGGCCUCCUCUUAUUCAAGGACUACGUGGCUAACCCUGCCACUCGACAAUGGGAAUCCUUGCCACCGCGUUCGUCAAUGUUUAUGGACGUAGAUGCGGAUUUCACUUAUGAAGACUACCUCGUGUUUGAUCCAACGUUAUCACCCCACUAUGAGGUGUUUGUAAUCCCACGUCUACGUUACAAAAGAGUGAUGAGAGGUUUUCAUGACAACAAUUCAGAGGUGAUGGAGAAAUCUGAAUGGCCUUCGUCUGUGCUCGAUCUGCACGUGUUCUCCUCAAAGUCAGGUUGCUGGGAGGGGAGGGGUUUUAUUCGAGAAGGAAAGGCUGUUGGCACCGUCGCCGAAAUGCGACGGCCACAUUGGAGUUGGGACAAAAAACGAUAUGGCGUAUACUGGCGGGGUGAUCUUUUCGUGCUGUGCGAAGCUGAAUUUACAAUGAGGAUAUCUUUGUCAAAUUGUACAUAUAGAUUAAUUAAGUCGCCGAUGGACACUGAAGUAUGCAGAAAUUCGGGAUUUCAUCUAGGACGGUUGAAAAAAGGGGUGUAUCUUGCAUCUCUUCAUACUGCAUGUCUUCUUAUGGUUUGGGUCCUUGAGGUAGCUCAUGGCCACACGAAUUGGGUACUGAAACAUAACAUUUGUCUUAAAUCUAUACUACAACGUCGAGAUUAUAAAGAACCCGUACUUGGCUCAUGGGUCUUGCAAGAUAUUAACUUUGACGAGGGUGUCAAAUAUUAUAAGGAGCAUAAUGAACAUGCUGGCUACAUGGAAUUUCUAAUGCAGAAGAAAUCUAUAUUGAACUCAUCAUGCAAGGAGGAGCUAUUGGAAGAAGAGUAUGAAUGGGACUCCGAAAAUGAUGAUAUUCUUGACCAGAAAGAUGUGGUUGGCAAUUGUUACCACGGAUGUGUGGGCAUCCUCGGUUUUCAUCCUUAUAAGGAGAUUGUCUUUCUGAAAGUAUCAUUGUACAGGGCACUAGCUUAUCAUUUGAAAGUCUCAAAGGUUCAAGAUCUAGGCUACAUAUACCCGACAAGUUAUUAUGAAGUUAUGUCGAUCGACCGGUUCAUAAGAGAGUCAUUUCUGUACACACCCUGCUGGAUACGACAUGAGAGUUCAAACGGAUGUGGAAAGCCUCUGUUGAAACCCAAUUGA